UCCCGGAUAGUGUAAUGGUAACACACCUCCCUUUGGAGGAGGUUUUCUAGGUUCGAAUCCUAGUCCGGGAA
Molecule: transfer RNA, 71 nt
Filed under: Elusimicrobia bacterium CG1_02_63_36
Lineage: Bacteria; Pseudomonadati; Elusimicrobiota
Also listed under: 3 other names
Description: tRNA-Gln
Rfam family: tRNA
About the family: Transfer RNA (tRNA) molecules are approximately 80 nucleotides in length. Their secondary structure includes four short double-helical elements and three loops (D, anti-codon, and T loops).
Source: RNAcentral